RNAcentral lists this ribosomal RNA (261 nucleotides) under uncultured bacterium. RNAcentral describes it as "partial 16S ribosomal RNA". It matches the Rfam family "Bacterial small subunit ribosomal RNA", at positions 793 to 1055 of the family's 1533-position model. The record is from RNAcentral.
GUCCACGCCGUAAACGUUGGGCACUAGGUGUGGGUCUCUAUCGACGGGAUCCGUGCCGUAGCUAACGCAUUAAGUGCCCCGCCUGGGGAGUACGGCCGCAAGGCUAAAACUCAAAGGAAUUGACGGGGCCCGCACAAGCGGCGGAGCGUGUGGCUUAAUUCGAUGCAACGCGAAGAACCUUACCUGGACUUGACAUUUAGGGAAAAGCCGGUGAAAGCCGGUGUGCUUCGGCGUCCUAAACAGGUGGUGCAUGGCUGUCGU